This is a long non-coding RNA of Carassius auratus (goldfish), 1280 nucleotides long. RefSeq lists it as uncharacterized. Lineage: Eukaryota; Metazoa; Chordata; Actinopteri; Cypriniformes; Cyprinidae. The record is from RefSeq and is a predicted model, not a curated record. The transcript has 2 exons.
CUGAAGACUUUACAGAAAUAAUGACAAAGUAGAUGUAGAAAAGAAACAAAAUAAACACAAAACAAAUAAAUACCGAAUAAGUUACACAUCUAGUUUUAUAAAUUCGUUUGAUUUGGUCGUUUCUUCAAUCCGUUAACUUUAACAAUCACGUGACUACCAACAGGAGGGACUUUGCGUCAGCCAUCGAACUGGAUGGUAAAAUAUCCUGCAAAAUCAUGGACCGACUUUUGACCGUCAUUGGACAACAACAUAUAGGUCUUACGGUGGGAUUGAGUUUGAUGAUCGUCGUUGUGGUUGUCGUCCUCGCGACGGUUGUUUACACUUCACCGGGCGCCACAACGCGCUGCUUGAGAAGAAACAGGAGUGAAGAACACCUCUCUCUGACUGCUAACACGAUUUCAUGACUGCUAACAGAAACAUAUUCACUUUAUGGAUCUCUUUGGAGAAUUGUUUCUGAAAAAUGACUUCCAAAACAAAUCACAGUUACCAUGGAAAUGUAAUAAAAUGUCAUUGACAUUUCUAAAGUGAGUGCCUCUGUUCCAGUGUUCUGCAUGAAGGCAUUUUGAUGGGCUUCAUUAAGUGGAAUUCUAAUCUAAGGACAUUUUUGUAUACUUUUUGUAUGUAUGAUGAUGUAGGGCAGGGGUCACCAAACUCAGUCCUGGAGGGCCAGUGUCCUGCAGAGUUUAUCAAACCCCUGAACCAGCUAAUCAGGGUCUUACUAGGUAUACUUGAAACUUCCAUGAAGGUGUGUUGAGGCAAGCUGGAGCUCAAUUCUGCAGGACUCUGGCCCUCCAGGACCCAGUUUUGAGACCAAUGAAGUAGGGCCUUCCUCUAAACUUGUGUACCUGUCAUGCAAAUGUAAAUCCUGCGCAACAGUCUCUGUAAAAUGAUCUUACAAAUACUUAAUAACUGGAAAAAUCAUUGAAAUUAGGUGAUGAGAAAAUUAUGGGAACUAUAAUUACUGGAAGCAAACAAAAACUCGAUAGAGAUGUUUUAUCAGCUGAACAACUGGUAGACAACAGUACAGUCCAUUGCACACAUUGUACUUCUAUCCAUCACAAACUCGCUUUCACUCCUGUCAAAAAUCUAAUAUGGUGCUACCCUGACUGGUCUAUCUCAGUAACUCUCUUUUAAUCACAGGAACUGCAAAGGCUGCAAUUCCAGUAGACAAGCACUAGAUGGACUAGUGCUCUGUGGAAAGGAUGACAGUCUGCAUAAAAUGUUUAUGUGCUACAGCAUAUUUUUAAUUUGAAGGCAGCUAUAAAUCCUGCUUUAACCUC